RNAcentral lists this ribosomal RNA (431 nucleotides) under Escherichia coli. RNAcentral's name for it is "bacterial SSU rRNA". It matches the Rfam family "Bacterial small subunit ribosomal RNA", at positions 960 to 1391 of the family's 1533-position model. Lineage: Bacteria; Pseudomonadati; Pseudomonadota; Gammaproteobacteria; Enterobacterales; Enterobacteriaceae. The record is from RNAcentral.
CGCGAAGAACCUUACCUGGUCUUGACAUCCACAGAACUUUCCAGAGAUGGAUUGGUGCCUUCGGGAACUGUGAGACAGGUGCUGCAUGGCUGUCGUCAGCUCGUGUUGUGAAAUGUUGGGUUAAGUCCCGCAACGAGCGCAACCCUUAUCCUUUGUUGCCAGCGGUCCGGCCGGGAACUCAAAGGAGACUGCCAGUGAUAAACUGGAGGAAGGUGGGGAUGACGUCAAGUCAUCAUGGCCCUUACGACCAGGGCUACACACGUGCUACAAUGGCGCAUACAAAGAGAAGCGACCUCGCGAGAGCAAGCGGACCUCAUAAAGUGCGUCGUAGUCCGGAUUGGAGUCUGCAACUCGACUCCAUGAAGUCGGAAUCGCUAGUAAUCGUGGAUCAGAAUGCCACGGUGAAUACGUUCCCGGGCCUUGUACACACC